RNAcentral lists this ribosomal RNA (705 nucleotides) under uncultured bacterium. RNAcentral describes it as "bacterial SSU rRNA". It matches the Rfam family "Bacterial small subunit ribosomal RNA", at positions 58 to 762 of the family's 1533-position model. The record is from RNAcentral.
CAGCCGAACGAAGCAUUUAAGACAGAUUUUUUCGGAAUGAAGUUUUUUAUCACUGAGUGGCGGACGGGUGAGUAACGCGUGGGUAACCUGCCUCACACAGGGGGAUAGCAGUUGGAAACGACUGGUAAUACCGCAUAAGCACACAGCUUCGCAUGAAGCGGUGUGAAAAACUCCGGUGGUGUGAGAUGGACCCGCGUCUGAUUAGGUAGUUGGUGAGGUAACGGCCCACCAAGCCGACGAUCAGUAGCCGACCUGAGAGGGUGACCGGCCACAUUGGGACUGAGACACGGCCCAGACUCCUACGGGAGGCAGCAGUGGGGAAUAUUGCACAAUGGAGGAAACUCUGAUGCAGCGACGCCGCGUGAGUGAAGAAGUAUUUCGGUAUGUAAAGCUCUAUCAGCAGGGAAGACAGUGACGGUACCUGACUAAGAAGCUCCGGCUAAAUACGUGCCAGCAGCCGCGGUAAUACGUAUGGAGCAAGCGUUAUCCGGAUUUACUGGGUGUAAAGGGAGUGUAGGUGGUAUCACAAGUCAGAAGUGAAAGCCCGGGGCUCAACCCCGGGACUGCUUUUGAAACUGUGGAACUGGAGUGCAGGAGAGGUAAGUGGAAUUCCUAGUGUAGCGGUGAAAUGUGUAGAUAUUAGGAGGAACACCAGUGGCGAAGGCGGCUUACUGGACUGUAACUGACACUGAGGCUCGAAAGCGU